UGUCACAUGGACGCGAUGUGACUCUAGAUUAAUAAAACAUGACUGUUUUACAGUAUCCACACACAACCAUGGAUAGCCUCACACAUGUGUAAAGUUACUGGUGUCUCUACAACACUGAAGAGCCAGGCAUAAACCGGAAGACGUCGCUUGGGUCUGCCAGUGAUUAGGCUGCUUCCGCAUGUAACCAUCUAUACUGCAUGAGAAACUGCGGGAUGACGGUUGCGAAGUGGCGUAGCAAUCACGUGAAUAUUAUUAUGACCAUUAUUGUCUUAUUAUGCGUCUUAUCCGUGUCACCCUAUAUUGUUAAUAAUUAGCCUAUUUAUGUUGUAAUAUCAUAUUUUGUACUAUUAGAAAGAGCGUUUCUUACAGUGCAUGUAACAUCACUGUACUUGGUUUGUGUUCAAUAAACAAGAGUUCGUUGGUACGA
Molecule: long non-coding RNA, 427 nt
Organism: Ornithodoros turicata
Lineage: Eukaryota; Metazoa; Arthropoda; Arachnida; Ixodida; Argasidae
Exons: 2
Source: RefSeq, a predicted model, not a curated record